GUGAGGAAUAUUGGUCAAUGGGCGGAAGCCUGAACCAGCCAAGUCGCGUGAGGGAAGAAGGCCCUGCGGGUCGCAGACCUCUUUGGACGGGGAGCAAGGCCGCCGACGUGUCGGCGGAAGGAGAGUACCCGUAGAACAAGCAUCGGCUAACUCCGUGCCAGCAGCCGCGGUAAUACGGAGGAUGCGAGCGUUAUCCGGAUUUAUUGGGUUUAAAGGGUGCGCAGGCGGCACGGCAAGCCGGCGGUCAAAUCGCGGGGCUCAACCCCGCCCAGCCGUCGGAACUGCCGGGCUAGAGUGGGCGAGAAGUGCGCGGAAUGCGUGGUGUAGCGGUGAAAUGCAUAGAUAUCACGCAGAACUCCGAUUGCGAAGGCAGCGCACCGGCGCCCUACUGACGCUCAGGCACGAAAGCGUGGGUAUCGAACAGG
This 425-nucleotide ribosomal RNA is filed under the name uncultured bacterium. Its description in RNAcentral is "bacterial SSU rRNA". It matches the Rfam family "Bacterial small subunit ribosomal RNA", at positions 354 to 776 of the family's 1533-position model. The record is from RNAcentral.